AUUGAACGCUGGCGGCAUGCUUUACACAUGCAAGUCGAACGGUAACAGGCCUUCGGGUGCUGACGAGUGGCGAACGGGUGAGUAAUGCAUCGGAACGUACCCAGAGGUGGGGGAUAACGCAGCGAAAGCUGUGCUAAUACCGCAUGUGAUCUGAGGAUGAAAGCGGGGGACCGAGCAGCAAUGUUUGGCCUCGCGGCUUUGGGGCGGCCGAUGUCGGAUUAGCUAGUUGGUGGGGUAAAGGCCUACCAAGGCGACGAUCCGUAGCUGGUCUGAGAGGACGACCAGCCACACUGGGACUGAGACACGGCCCAGACUCCUACGGGAGGCAGCAGUGGGGAAUUUUGGACAAUGGGCGCAAGCCUGAUCCAGCCAUGCCGCGUGCGGGAAGAAGGCCUUCGGGUUGUAAACCGCUUUUGGCAGGAACGAAACGGUGUCCGCUAAUACCGGGCGCUAAUGACGGUACCUGCAGAAUAAGCACCGGCUAACUACGUG
This 492-nucleotide ribosomal RNA is filed under the name uncultured bacterium. Its description in RNAcentral is "partial 16S ribosomal RNA". It matches the Rfam family "Bacterial small subunit ribosomal RNA", at positions 29 to 507 of the family's 1533-position model. The record is from RNAcentral.